This is a long non-coding RNA of Alosa alosa (allis shad), 564 nucleotides long. RefSeq lists it as uncharacterized. The record is from RefSeq and is a predicted model, not a curated record. Lineage: Eukaryota; Metazoa; Chordata; Actinopteri; Clupeiformes; Clupeidae. The transcript has 4 exons.
CCACGGGCGGAAUCUUUCGGAAGUUUAGGCUCUCAUCGAAGACCCGGUCCACCAGCUGCAAACGGAGGAAAUGGUUGGACACAUGGAAGAGACACUGUGACACCCUGGUGAGAUGACACAUAGGUGUGUGGUGUUCCUCUGGAGCCUUGCUGCAUGAACCUCAUCUAAUCUGGACUGACAGGAUGUGUGUUCUCCAGGAAAGGCGACCGGCAGGGAUUAUUCAACAACUAAAAAACACACCAUCACACGCUACCAUCAUCCCCUGCACUGUGGAAUUAUUGAGGUAUGGAAGUGACCACCAGGAGGUGCUAUUUCACCUAGACCAGCUUUUCCAUUCAGCGCCAUGAUGUAUCCUGGGCAGCCAAAUAAAAGGUCCACUGCAGUGAGGGAUGAUGAUGGAUGAGGUAGCUGUGCAGCAAAAAGAAACGGACCUCUAUGAAUGAGCCCACAGGGCUGUGUCCAUGCAGUAGCCUAGCUACCGUCCAGUCAUCUCAACGGGGAAUUCUAGGUCAAGUGGAAGACGGGUAUGUAUGUGCACUGUGUGUGUGUGUGUGUGUGUCUGUC